This 968-nucleotide long non-coding RNA is filed under the name Sus scrofa (pig). Its description in RNAcentral is "lncRNA (ENSSSCG00070007040.1)". Lineage: Eukaryota; Metazoa; Chordata; Mammalia; Artiodactyla; Suidae. The record is from RNAcentral.
UGGGAGAAAAACCCAGGACCCCGGAGCCUACGCCGUAUCCAAUUGAAUCCAACCUCCAACCGAGGCGAUGGCGGGGGCGGGGAGCCCCCCCGAAGGCAGACACUAAGGAGACAAAAAAAUGCAAGUGGCUUAAGAGCGAGGAUUUGUUUUUCCGAAUCUACCCCCCCAACAAACCGGUCAGCCAAGAAGCCAAGAAAGCGCUGAGACGAGAAGCGGCGGCGGCUGCUAAGGCAGAUUGGUUGGGGCGGUGGGUUUAUUACGGGAGUGUUCGUGGUCGGCUCGGAAGGCUCAAGCUUAUGCUUUCUCUUUCCGCUCUCCUCCCGCCUCCUCCUCCCGUUCCCCCCGCCCCGCAGGUACUGAUGGACGGACGGCGACUAAGGAGAGGGGAAAAAAUCCUUGGCUGGUGAUGUCGGAAAGCUGUUUGAAUGCCCAGCGAGGAGGGAGGCGCGGGAGGGCGCGAGAUAGUAAAGCUCUGUAUUGGGUGUGCGCGCGGCGCUCGGUCUCCUCGGGCGCGUGAGGGAGGGGGAGCGCGGUCCCGAGGCGCGCUCCGGGCCCCGCGUGCUCGUGGACGCGCGCGUCCAGCGCGGUGCGCCCGGCGGCCGCCCGGGGCUCCACGCGCGCAGCGCGGCCGCGGCGCCUCCAGGAGCUCAGCCUGGCGCGGGCGCGGGCGGGGCGCUGAGAGAGCGGCGGCGCUAGGCGGGAGGACGCGCGGGAGGCAGAGGGGCUGGGAGAGCUUAGCCCGGGCCACCGAGCGCCAGCACGUCACGACUGCUCCAAACCCUGCACGUCCCGGGAGCUGCGCUUUCUGCGUCUGGGAGCGCCGACCUGUCGCAACCCAAGAGCUGUCAUUUCCGCACCGGGAUUCGGAGGGAUGGAUCGCCCGCCACGAAGGGGGCUGGUCUCGGUCCCCGAACUGCUCUGUCCCCGGGUGGAACAAUGCUAGUUUUUCUCUGCUAGGCUGCAAUUAA